Ahaetulla prasina is the source of this 762-nucleotide long non-coding RNA. RefSeq lists it as uncharacterized. The record is from RefSeq and is a predicted model, not a curated record. NCBI's taxonomy places the organism in Eukaryota, Metazoa, Chordata, Lepidosauria, Squamata, Colubridae. The transcript is spliced from 3 exons.
GGAGGCAACAACUUUCAAGACACGUGGACUUCAACUCCCAGGAUUCCCAGCCACGGCUUCCCGUGCUGCACUGCGAUUGGCUCCCUCUGGCCGCCUUUCAAAAAGAGAGCUUUGCCAUUGGUUGCGCAGAUGGGGCACGCUGGCAAUUGGGCGUUGCUAGGGAGACGGAGGCGUGUUCCUGCUCCGCCCAGGCCCCGUUCGACUCUCCUGGCAGACGAAGUUCUCUCAAGCCAAGCCCGUCCCGAUGGCGGGGAGCAACCAAGCCCUCAUAGCAAGCAUAGAACAAAAUAACUCACUGGAUGAAAAUGGACUGAAUCACCAGCAUAAUGCAGCAUCAAGGACAUCAGACAAUAUUGCUCCACCUUACCUAUGACACUAAUAUACUCAGCAUACUGAAAUUGCUAUGGUAUAGCACUAGAAUUUUUCAAAAACUAAGAGACAUUUUGAGUAGUUUGGUCUUUAAAUAUAUUUAUAUCUCACUUUUAUAGUGAGCUGCUUACCAGGACGGUUACUUACAUAGUUAGAUAAAAUAGCAAUGAUAUUAUCGAAAAUAGAAUAUGUGAAUUGGAUGUUAUUUUCUUUCCUAUAGCAUUUUCAACACACACACACACACACACACUUCUACUGCCACUGUUCCUCAGUCAAACCACAACUGUUGAAGAUAACCAGUUCUGUAAACUAACAUUCAGAAAGAUCCCAGUUGGGAAAACCUGCCAUCAAAUAAAUAUAUUUGUACUUUGUUCCUGGAAGAAUGUAAAGAAA